RNAcentral lists this ribosomal RNA (252 nucleotides) under uncultured bacterium. Its description in RNAcentral is "partial 16S ribosomal RNA". It matches the Rfam family "Bacterial small subunit ribosomal RNA", at positions 524 to 776 of the family's 1533-position model. The record is from RNAcentral.
UACGUAGGUGGCAAGCGUUGUCCGGAAUUAUUGGGCGUAAAGCGCGCGCAGGUGGUUUCUUAAGUCUGAUGUGAAGGCCCACGGCUCAACCGUGGAGGGUCAUUGGAAACUGGGGAACUUGAGUGCAGAAGAGGAUAGUGGAAUUCCAAGUGUAGCGGUGAAAUGCGUAGAGAUUUGGAGGAACACCAGUGGCGAAGGCGACUAUCUGUCUGUAACUGACACUGAGGCGCGAAAGCGUGGGGAGCAAACAGG